CGCACCCACGGCGUUGUCCGGCGAACACUCCAAAUAUCAACGUGUCCUUUUUAAUUGUCUGGCCUAUGCCGAGAUACUGAGACAGGAAAACAACAACAGCCAAAACCCAAAUAAACAAAAAGAACUGUAGCUCAGAAGCCCGCGACUGAUUCUCAAGUGGCUGUCUCUUGGGGCAAAUCUGACCUGAUCAGGUGCCCUUUCAGGCCCAGCCACCAUGGCUGGUACCACCGCGCAAUGCAAAGCUACCGUCAGGCCAGCAGCACUCAGUGCCGCCUUGCGGCUAGCUGUUAUCCUCUCCCUGUGGCUUGGGAGAAAUCCAAAUAUGCACCUCGCCCCCUUCCUAGAGCUCCAGACACUACUCUGGUCGGAAAACCGAGCAAAUGAAGCAGGCAACCAUCGGAGAACUCUGAAUUAUGUCUCACCUUCAGACCUCGGCUCCCAGAAGCUCCUGCCUCUCUGACAGCUGUCGGCUUCGGCAGCCCAGGAGACGAAUUGUCCUCCUUCCUGGUGCCAGAGGACGCAGGAAAUUAGCCAGGUUGUGAGUUGCAAAGCGGC
This is a non-coding RNA of Cricetulus griseus (Chinese hamster), 555 nucleotides long. The record is from RefSeq and is a predicted model, not a curated record. NCBI's taxonomy places the organism in Eukaryota, Metazoa, Chordata, Mammalia, Rodentia, Cricetidae.